Molecule: ribosomal RNA, 120 nt
Organism: Colletotrichum sublineola
Lineage: Eukaryota; Fungi; Ascomycota; Sordariomycetes; Glomerellales; Glomerellaceae
Source: Rfam
ACAUACGACCAUACCCACUGGAGAACUCGGGAUCCCGUCCGCUCUCCCAUAGAUAAGCCAGUGAGGGCCGGAUUAGUAGUUGGGCCGGUGACGACCAGCAAAUACCUGGUGUUGUAUGUU